Helianthus annuus (common sunflower) is the source of this 106-nucleotide non-coding RNA. NCBI's taxonomy places the organism in Eukaryota, Viridiplantae, Streptophyta, Magnoliopsida, Asterales, Asteraceae. The record is from Rfam.
AGACCGUGAUGAGGACACAUUCUUAGUAGCUCCUUGAACCUUUCCAAGUUUCAUAUAAGGAUUCCCCAUCCUCUUGUGAAUAUAUAUUAAUUUCAGUCAUUAAUUU